AUUGAACGCUGGCGGAAUGCUUUACACAUGCAAGUCGAACGGCAGCACGGACUUCGGUCUGGUGGCGAGUGGCGAACGGGUGAGUAGUGUAUCGGAACGUAUCCAAUAAUGGGGGAUAACUAGUCGAAAGAUUAGCUAAUACCGCAUACGCCCUACGGGGGAAAGCUAGGGACCUUCGGGCCUGGCGUUAAUGGAGCGGCCGAUAUCUGAUUAGCUAGUUGGUGAGGUAAAAGCUCACCAAGGCGACGAUCAGUAGCUGGUCUGAGAGGACGACCAGCCACACUGGAACUGAGACACGGUCCAGACUCCUACGGGAGGCAGCAGUGGGGAAUUUUGGACAAUGGGCGAAAGCCUGAUCCAGCCAUUCCGCGUGAGUGAAGAAGGCCUUCGGGUUGUAAAGCUCUUUCGCAAGAGAAGAAAACUUACCCUCUAACAUAGGGUGAGGCUGACGGUAUCUUGAUAAGAAGCACCGGCUAACUACGUGCCAGCCGCCGCCGUAA
Molecule: ribosomal RNA, 500 nt
Filed under: uncultured bacterium
Lineage: Bacteria
Description: partial 16S ribosomal RNA
Rfam family: Bacterial small subunit ribosomal RNA
Source: RNAcentral